GUUCACGUGCAUCAAUACACGCAGCUAGAUCGAGCACUAUGUGAUGUAGCGUUGGAUGCUGCAGUACCUCUGCCUCGGGCAGUGGUGGAUGGCAGCACGGUCGCUGAUGACGACCACGAAAUGAUCGGUGCAGGUGUAGUACAACGUCACAGAACACGUAGCGUACAACUAGCAAUCGCAGGAAGUCGUCGCCGAAAAAUUGGAGAAUACUGCUUUCUGGAAGACGACAAAAUAUCUUUGAAUACAAAAUUUAACUCAGAAUUGAAUACAAAUUCCAGGUAGACGGGCAGUCAGGGAUGAAGAGGACCAAAGACAGAAAUGAAGGAAGAUAGGAGAAAGAUACUGUGAUCUAAUAGAGAAGGAAAGGAAGAAAGAAUUAGAUAUGGAAAUAAUGUGUUAAAAGGAACUAUCUGAGUUGUUAGUUAAAAUUUCAAAGUUUAAAAUAUCUAUAUAAGCAUGUAAUAAAUAAUAUAAGGAGAGGUGGAGAAAGAAGGGCUGGUGAUGAUGUAAAACAAGGAAAGAACUCUUGUAACAUCAGGGAAAAUAAAUUGGAUUGAAUGAAA
This is a long non-coding RNA of Diachasma alloeum, 563 nucleotides long. RefSeq lists it as uncharacterized. NCBI's taxonomy places the organism in Eukaryota, Metazoa, Arthropoda, Insecta, Hymenoptera, Braconidae. The transcript is spliced from 2 exons. The record is from RefSeq and is a predicted model, not a curated record.